This 478-nucleotide ribosomal RNA is filed under the name uncultured bacterium. RNAcentral's name for it is "partial 16S ribosomal RNA". It matches the Rfam family "Bacterial small subunit ribosomal RNA", at positions 28 to 507 of the family's 1533-position model. The record is from RNAcentral.
GAUGAACGCUAGCGGCAGGCCUAACACAUGCAAGUCGAGGGAGAAGCCCUUUCGGGGGCCGAAACCGGCGCACGGGUGCGUAACGCGUAUGCAACCUACCUUUCACAGGGGGAUAGCCCGAAGAAAUUUGGAUUAAUACCCCAUAAUAUUAUUGGAUGGCAUCAUUUGAUAAUUAAAACUGCGGUGGUGAAAGAUGGGCAUGCGUCCUAUUAGCUAGUUGGAGUGGUAACGGCACCCCAAGGCUACGAUAGGUAGGGGUCCUGAGAGGGAGAUCCCCCACACUGGUACUGAGACAGGGACCAGACUCCUACGGGAGGCAGCAGUGAGGAAGAUUGGUCAAUGGUCGGAAGACUGAACCAGCCAUGCCGCGUGCAGGAAGAAUGCCUUAUGGGUUGUAAACUGCUUUUAGAUGGGAAGAAUAAGGCGUACGUGUACGUUGAUGACGGUACCAUAUGAAUAAGCAUCGGCUAACUCCGUG